This 254-nucleotide ribosomal RNA is filed under the name uncultured bacterium. Its description in RNAcentral is "partial 16S ribosomal RNA". It matches the Rfam family "Bacterial small subunit ribosomal RNA", at positions 524 to 776 of the family's 1533-position model. The record is from RNAcentral.
UACAGAGGGUGCGAGCGUUGUCCGGAAUCAUUGGGCGUAAAGAGCUCGUAGGUGGCCUGUCGCGUCGGCUGUGAAAACUCGGGGCUCAACUCCGAGCUUGCAGUCGAUACGGGCAGGCUAGAGUUCGGCAGGGGAGACUGGAAAUUCCUGGUGUAGCGGUGAAAUGCGCAGAUAUCAGGAGGAACACCGAUGGCGAAGGCAGGUCUCUGGGCCACUACUGACGCUGAGAAGCGAAAGCAUGGGGAGCGAACAGG